GAUGAACGCUGGCGGCGUGGAUUAGGCAUGCAAGUCGAACGGUAUCAUCCUUUCGGGGGUGAGAGAGUGGCGAACUGGUGAGUAACACGUAGGUUAUCUACCCUCAAGACGGGGACAACCCAGGGAAACUUGGGCUAAUACCGGAUGUGAGCAACUUUUAGUUGUUUGAAAGGUGGCGUAAGCUGUCGCUUGGGGAUGAGCCUGCGUCCUAUUAGUUAGUUGGUGAGGUAACGGCUCACCUAGGCAAUGAUAGGUAGGCGGCCUUAACGGGUGGUCGCCCACACUGGGAUUGAGAUACGGCCCAGACUCCUACGGGAGGCAGCAGUCGAGAAUAGUCUACAAUGGUCGGAAGACUGAUAGUGCGACGCCGCGUGAACGAUGAAUCCCUUCGGGGUGUAAAGUUCUUUUAUAUGUGAGCAGUGCUUCUUAUAUUAACAGUAUGGGGAGAGAGAUAUUAGCAUAUGAAUAAGCAACGGCUAACUCCGUGCCAGCAGCCGCGGUAA
RNAcentral lists this ribosomal RNA (503 nucleotides) under uncultured bacterium. RNAcentral's name for it is "bacterial SSU rRNA". It matches the Rfam family "Bacterial small subunit ribosomal RNA", at positions 28 to 523 of the family's 1533-position model. The record is from RNAcentral.